GAUGAACGCUGGCGGCAUGCCUAAUACAUGCAAGUCGAGCGAAUGGAUUAAGAGCUUGCUCUUAUGAAGUUAGCGGCGGACGGGUGAGUAACACGUGGGUAACCUGCCCAUAAGACUGGGAUAACUCCGGGAAACCGGGGCUAAUACCGGAUAACAUUUUGAACCGCAUGGUUCGAAAUUGAAAGGCGGCUUCGGCUGUCACUUAUGGAUGGACCCGCGUCGCAUUAGCUAGUUGGUGAGGUAACGGCUCACCAAGGCAACGAUGCGUAGCCGACCGGGGAGGGGGAUCGGCCACACUGGGACUGAGACACGGCCCAGACUCCUACGGGAGGCAGCAGUAGGGAAUCUUCCGCAAUGGACGAAAGUCUGACGGAGCAACGCCGCGUGAGUGAGGAAGGCUUUCGGGUCGUAAAACUCUGUUGUUAGGGAAGAACAAGUGCUAGUUGAAUAAGCUGGCACCUUGACGGUACCUAACCAGAAAGCCACGGCUAACUACGUGCCAGCCGCCGCCGUAA
Molecule: ribosomal RNA, 515 nt
Filed under: uncultured bacterium
Lineage: Bacteria
Description: partial 16S ribosomal RNA
Rfam family: Bacterial small subunit ribosomal RNA
Source: RNAcentral